RNAcentral lists this long non-coding RNA (1827 nucleotides) under Lathyrus oleraceus (garden pea). Its description in RNAcentral is "Pisum sativum (pea) long non-coding RNA (PSAT_LNC019353)". Lineage: Eukaryota; Viridiplantae; Streptophyta; Magnoliopsida; Fabales; Fabaceae. The record is from RNAcentral.
UGAAAUUAGUAAUCUGCUUCGGCUUAGGGCAUUUGGAGCCCAAGAAAAUCCAACAUGAGAGUGAAGGGGUCUGUGUUUACUCAUUCUCACAAUCUCAUUUCAACUUGGGGCAACCGUUAGGUCAUGAUUGAAAGGUCAUGAUUACAUGAUGAUUGAAGGAUUUUAUAGAGUGGUGAGCUUGUAACAGAAUCGGGCAGCUUGGGGCAACCGUUAGGGCAAGCUAAGUUGAUGUUAAUUUCUCUGGUGUAAGUUGGGUAAGUGUUAAUAACACUAUUAGAUUCAGUUAAAUAGUUGUGUUAGAAAGUUAGAGUUAGUUACUUUGAACUCAGUUAGUUAGUGAGGAAGAUGUUAAUUCUUUUAGUGCAAGUUAACUCAGUUAGAAAGGUAAGUUAGUUAUCAUGAAUAAACUCUGUUAAAAAAAUGUUAAGUUUGAUUGUUUAAAUCUGUUAGAGGCUAAUUGAGUUAGUUUGAGUUUAAUUAGAGUGGAUUUUUAGUGAAAAUUAGGUUAAUGUUAAGUUAGUCUGAUGCAGAAAAACUGGCAUGCUCACUGUUGGUUAAAGUUAGCUAUUGGUGCUUUUCCUGAAUUAGAAUGAAGGUACUGCAGUGUUUGAAUAUUGGAUAGUCCUUGGACACAUGAGAAUUUUGUUUGUUAGUUGUAUCUUGGGUGGAAUUAGACUUAACCUAUUGGUAUGUUUGAAUAUUGUUAUGGCUGUUAACUGUUAGAUUAUUUUUGAAUUGAUUUUCAGUUAGAGUUAUGUUAAAAAGAAAGUUAGUGUGUUAACAGUCAACUUUGGUUAGAGCUGUGUUAAAUCAUUUUUGGCUUGAAUUUCAGUUAUGCUAUUUGGUUAUUGAAUGUUAGAGUAAAACAUGGCUGUUAGAAUGAGAUGGAUAGUGUUAAUUUGUGGAUUUAGUUAAUGUGGUUAGGGCUGUUAGUUUAAGUGUAAUUAUUGAAUGAAGGUUUGUUGAAUGAAGAAGUUAGUUGAUCUACUGUUAGUGUUUGCGUGUGGGUUGAUUGAACUAAAUAUGCUCUACUUGAGCUUGUGAUGUUGCUGACUCAAUUAUGAUUUUGCAGGACUUGUUGAGCUUCAUCAUGAGGCAAGCUUUGGAACACGGUUUGCUGCAUCUUGAGGAACCACCGGUUUCAUGAGCUAGACUUUGAAUGCCUGAAAUUGAAUUGAUGGUGUUUGUACAUGGUUCACGGAAGUUUGAUAUGGUGCCCUGGUAGUAUGCAGAACUGAUUUAACUUGAUCUUCAUCAUGCAAUUUAAAGGGGUAAGCUUUUCACUUGUCUCAUUUUAUGUUGAUGAAAUCAUCUUGAUUUUGAUUGCUCUGUCUGUUUUCUUUGCCUCUACCAGUUUCCAUUGCUUGCUAUCAGCUGAGUUUAAUUGCAAUAUAAAUAACUCAUUCUUUCUUUUGUCAUUUCACAUGGAUUGGUGGCUUGUGAUAAUGUGAUCAAACAAUACAAGCUGGUAUAGUUGGAAUUGGAAAUUGGAGUUGUGAUAUCAGUGGCUUUCUUACCUAUGAAGUUACUCAAAGAAAAAUGAAGGUGCAUUGGACUUGAAGUGUGGAGAAUCAAGAACAAGUCAGAUUUUGGGUCAAAGGGGUCAAUGGUCAAUUGUGUUGACCAAAAGUCAACUAUAACAUUUUUUGUACUUUUCUUCAUGUAAACUCGACAGUAACUUUGUGACAAAAUGCUUGUAAUAUUCUUUUGUUAAUGAAACUCUUUUUCCUUCCAAAAUCAAGCUUCUUGUCUUUCUACUUACUUUUUCCAAUCAUCAAUGACUUGAAUCACAAGUAACCAUAAUAUAGAGAGCAAAAACCUAAUUUC